GAAGGCUGCUGCAGGCUUCAAGAUUGUGUUCGGGGGCGGGACAAGCAUGACAGUGGAAAUCAGGAUGAUCUUAAUAUAUACGACAUCACAGACACUUGUAGAAGGGUGUCCAGUCGAUAUGGAUGAUAUGAAAGUCUAGUGGACGCGGGCUGUGAAAAGGCGAACCGCUGAUGUGAAAUUAGUUUGAGUGUCGCAACUGGUAAAUUUUCCCAUGGAUGCUGGAACGAGCAGAUAAUGGGUACGUUGACAAUGCAUUUUAUUUGUGUGUGGAAACAUGAAGGAAAAUAACAAAUGGGAUUUUGCUUGUAUCGCGCUUUUGAAGGCACUCAAAGCACUUGAACAAUCCUCAUCAGCAUCAGGACCAAGUUGGGGCUUUGGUAUUUUGCUCAAGGACCCUUGAGCAUGGUCACUUGGGCCUUCAGGCUGGAAAAUGACCAUAACACCACCUCAUCCCCAUAAGGACUCCGAUUGUGCUGUUGUCAAGGUUUCACUGAAGGUUUAUGUCAUGGGACCAACUGAUGUGUGUCAGGAGGUCAGAGAUUACUUUUUGGAAGCGGUACCAGACUGACUGUGGAGACUCGUAAGUUUGGCUUUGAUGUAUCGCAACCCGAAUUGUGUCACUACCUCAUAGAGAUGAAAUAAAACAACAUAAAAUGCAGUUUUUGUGUCCGUUUUUUAAAACCGCGAAGCCUAUUGAGUUUGCAGCUUCACAACAGAUCUCAGGAGGUUCUUGUAUAGGAAGUAACUAAUGUGUGACAGGAUACAGGUUACUUUUUGGAGGUGGAAUCAGAUUGACAGUGGAAACCUGUAAGUGGGAUUUAUUUAUUUUUUUGGAAGAUAAUUAAUUAGUUUUGUUUGAAUUAAAAUCAGAAA
Long non-coding RNA from Hippocampus comes (tiger tail seahorse), 873 nucleotides. RefSeq lists it as uncharacterized. NCBI's taxonomy places the organism in Eukaryota, Metazoa, Chordata, Actinopteri, Syngnathiformes, Syngnathidae. The transcript is spliced from 2 exons. The record is from RefSeq and is a predicted model, not a curated record.